GACGAACGCUGGCGGCGUGCUUAACACACGCAAGUCGAACGAUGAAGCCCAGCUUGCUGGGUGGAUUAGUGGCGAACGGGUGAGUAACACGUGGGCAACCUGCCCCAAACUCUGGGAUAACUCCUCGAAAGAGGUGCUAAUACCGGAUACGAACUAGGUAGACAUCUGCACUAGUUGGAAAGUUUUUCGGUUUGGGAUGGGCCCGCGGCCUAUCAGCUUGUUGGUGAGGUAACGGCUCACCAAGGCUACGACGGGUAACCGGCCUGAGAGGGCGACCGGUCACACUGGGACUGAGACACGGCCCAGACUCCUACGGGAGGCAGCAGUGGGGAAUAUUGCGCAAUGGGCGAAAGCCUGACGCAGCGACGCCGCGUGAGGGAUGAAGGUCUUCGGAUCGUAAACCUCUUUCAGUAGGGACGAAGCGAAAGUGACGGUACCUAAAGAAGAAGCACCGGCUAACUACGUGCCAGCAGCCGCGGUAA
Molecule: ribosomal RNA, 482 nt
Filed under: uncultured bacterium
Lineage: Bacteria
Description: partial 16S ribosomal RNA
Rfam family: Bacterial small subunit ribosomal RNA
Source: RNAcentral